This is a long non-coding RNA of Amphiprion ocellaris (clown anemonefish), 2584 nucleotides long. RefSeq lists it as uncharacterized. Lineage: Eukaryota; Metazoa; Chordata; Actinopteri; Pomacentridae. The transcript has 3 exons. The record is from RefSeq and is a predicted model, not a curated record.
UGUCAUCCAGAUGUUCAGAGGGAGAUGAUGCCACAUCUGGUCCAGCUGAUGGAAGGUCUUGAAGUUCUCUGACUGGCCUCGACUGAAGAUGGUCGUCUCACUGGAUUUAAGGUUCAGAUGCUCAGUAACAAACUCCACCAAUGAGCCAACAGGGAAGCUUUAGGUUUAUUAAAUGUUGCUAUGAAGGUUUCGCUGUUUUUCUUGGUGAAUGCAAUGUGCUCCAACUAAAACCUGAAUUAGAACUUAGAAGUAAAUCCUUCCAUCUGAAAGGAUUUAGUUGCAUUAAUAACCUCAUAACAUUUUAAUUUUUAUUCCAGUCUUGGUUGGAAAUAGAAUCUCUGUAUUGAUUCAGGUAAAAACUGAACUUCACAGCAUAUUGGAGCAAAACAACCAGAUGAAAACUGUGAUGGUGUUGGAUUGUCAGACUGUAAUGUUGCAGCUCAAAGCAGCUUUUCUAGCUCAGUUCAUUCUGACAUUCAGCUAUGAAUCAACACAGCAGAUGGUGAUCCAUGCUGUGGAAGUCUCACAUCUCCUGAUUUAAUGGAGCUGCUUUGCACUUUUUACACUGUUUAUUCACCAACACUUUAUUUAAUAAAAGUCCCAUCUAGUUUUUAUGAGGAAUGUGAUGUUUUAAUUUCUCUGUGAAUAACUGCAGUCUAAUGCAACAGCUGGAGUUGUAACAUCUGUCCUGAUAUUGAUCAUGAAGUAUUGAUCAGAAUACUUAUGGUUAGCAGUCAUCCCUGAAGUUUUACAUUAAAAUUUUUACUUGUGUUGUGAACUUUGGUAAGAAGCAGAAACUUUAGCGUUGCCAUGGAUACAUGAGUGUUAAAUUCUGUCCAUGUUUCCAUUUUGGGAAAUUCAGUCCAGCAGAUGAAUUUGUUUUUACUGCCAGCUACCAUUCAGUCUGAGAUAUUAAGAAUAAAUAAAUGUGCACAAUGUGGAAAUGAACAGGUUUUAUUUUUAUUUAUUCCUACAGCUGCUGCUUAUAAAGAUCCAGAAUGUGGAGGAAUUUAGUCUCACAAUCACGGACAAUAAAUAUUAUCUGAAAGUCGGGUUAUUGUUGUUUAUCAGCACAAUACAAAAAGAUUCAUGUUAGAAAUAUUCCAGUUAAGACUCUAGAAUGUCAUGAUUUAUAUAAAUUUACCUCAAGAAUAUAAAUGUUCAGGUUAAGUUUGUGCAGUGAUAUUUAUUAUGUAAGUUUAGCUGAUUAAAGUUUAUGACUCUGCACUAAAAUAUUAUUUAAACUUACAUCGUUAUUAUUAUAUUUAGGGUCAGACCCUACAGUAUUGAGAUUAAGAAGUCAAAUAUUCUAUAAAAUGUAAAUACACUGAACUCAUUUGGAUAUAUUUUAGUGAGACUCUACAAUAUUAUUUGACACAAAUCUAUCUAAAUCAAAAUUGUAAUCAUUUUUACUCCAAACAUUUACUGGACUGAUUUAAAUAUUAAAAUCACUCCUUUCUAAUCCUCUGCUGUACAUUCAAACCUGAGGCCUUAAAUAGAAACACACAAGUAUCUGAUUGAAGGAACUUCUGCAGAGUCCUGGUUCCAGAACAUGAUGAUAGAAUUAUAGACAAACUUUAACAAAAGCUGCCUGAGAGUUUACGGGUUUUUAUGUUGGAUUUCUUCAGUAAUUUAAUGAGAGUUAUCAGCAAAAAUCAAGUGUUCAUUUGAUGACCUUGAUUUCCUAAAACAUCCAGAAUUGGAGCUCAUAUCUUUGGCAGCUGUAAAGUUUCUGCUCCUUCAAAGUUCACAACACAAUGAAUGAAUUCCUAAAACACUCAAUGCUGGAGAGCUUUUGUGAUGCUGAAGCAGUGACCAGUUUUUCUGUUUCUUCUCUGGAGAUGCACAAUGAGGGACGUCUGCAGAGACUGAGAAAGAGUCUCACCACAUCCUGACAUGAGGAAAAAGACUUUAUUGAAGUCUACAAUGAGAAAAACUAUCAGACAGCAGACGGCUGCAUUCAAGUCUGUAGCUGCUGAAUUCAUGGAUGAAUCAUCUGGCACUAGAGAGGAAGACCAUCAAACAUCCACGUCAGCUGAUGGAGGUCCAAGAGUCUCACCCAACAAACAACCUACAGAGUGAAGACCUCGAACCUGAUUGGACGGCCUCCUAUUCAGCCACAUUUUAGGCUGUUAGAUUGUUCCAGAUAAGUACAAGAUUCUUCAGAGCCGUUCUACCACGAGCCUUACAGGAAGAACUCCAACAGCUACUGAAUGUUCCUGUGGUUCCCUCAAGGCUACAGGAGGAGUCCUACGAGGACGAGCCGGUCCACCUGAUGGAGGCCAGUCGCUGUGGUUCAAAGCCAACACCGACUACGUGGACUUCUACUGGACCACACAGAGGCCUUCAAACCAGACCAACAAGUUCAGCGACUCCCCGACUCGUGGGUCUGAGGACGCCGCCGAGCCUCGGUCCAGCCGGCCUCCUGUCUGUGGGUGUUUGAGUGCUGAGAGGUUUGUGGAUGCAUGUGAACGUGUCUGUGUUGAAACAGCAGCUUUUGACUCAGUAACGCUGGGAAAAACCAAGAGCUCCUUUAUUUGUGACUUCCACUAAAAAACUGAUGAAAAUAAGUUUGUCAGGGUUC